UACUGGGCGUAAAGCGUGCGCAGGCGGUUUUGUAAGACAGUGGUGAAAUCCCCGGGCUCAACCUGGGAACUGCCAUUGUGACUGCAAGGCUAGAGUGCGGCAGAGGGGGAUGGAAUCCGCGUGUAGCAGUGAAAUGCGUAGAUAUGCGGAGGAACACCGAUGGCGAAGGCAAUCCCCUGGGCCUGCACUGACGCUCAUGCACGAAAGCGUGGGGAGCAAACAGGAUUAGAUACCCUGGUAGUCAAGGGCG
This 250-nucleotide ribosomal RNA is filed under the name uncultured Burkholderiales bacterium. RNAcentral's name for it is "partial 16S ribosomal RNA". It matches the Rfam family "Bacterial small subunit ribosomal RNA", at positions 552 to 802 of the family's 1533-position model. The record is from RNAcentral. Lineage: Bacteria; Pseudomonadati; Pseudomonadota; Betaproteobacteria; Burkholderiales.